RNAcentral lists this ribosomal RNA (466 nucleotides) under uncultured bacterium. Its description in RNAcentral is "partial 16S ribosomal RNA". It matches the Rfam family "Bacterial small subunit ribosomal RNA", at positions 28 to 522 of the family's 1533-position model. The record is from RNAcentral.
GAUGAAUGCUGGCGGCGUGCUUAACACAUGCAAGUCGAGCGGCAGCGCGGAGAGUUUACUCUCUGGCGGCGAGCGGCGGACGGCUGAGUAACGCGUGGGAACAUGCCCCAAAGUGAGGAAUAACUGCCCGAAAGGGUAGCUAAUGCCGCAUAUGAUCUUCGGAUUAAAGGAUUUAUCCGCUUUGGGAGUGGCCUGCGAACGAUUAGGUAGUUGGUGAGGUAAUGGCUCACCAAGCCGACGAUCGUUAGCUGGUCUGAGAGGAUGACCAGCCAGACUGGAACUGAGACACGGUCCAGACUCCUACGGGAGGCAGCAGUGAGGAAUCUUCCACAAUGGGCGAAAGCCUGAUGGAGCAACGCCGCGUGCAGGAUGAAGGCCUUCGGGUCGUAAACUGCUUUUAUAAGUGAAGAAUAUGACGGUAACUUAUGAAUAAGCACCGGCUAACUACGUGCCAGCCGCCGCGGUA